This 779-nucleotide ribosomal RNA is filed under the name uncultured bacterium. Its description in RNAcentral is "bacterial SSU rRNA". It matches the Rfam family "Bacterial small subunit ribosomal RNA", at positions 8 to 796 of the family's 1533-position model. The record is from RNAcentral.
AGAGUUUGAUCAUGGCUCAGGAUGAACGCUAGCGGCAGGCCUAAUACAUGCAAGUCGAACGGGUCGCAAGACUAGUGGCGCACGGGUGCGUAACACGUAGGUAACCUACCUUUUACUGGGGCAUAACGAUGGGAAACCAUCGCUAAUACCGCAUAAGACAGUAGCCUGGCAUCAGGCAGUUGUUAAAGAUUUAUUGGUAAAAGAUGGGCCUGCGGCUGAUUAGCUAGUUGGUGGUGUAACGGACCACCAAGGCCAUGAUCAGUAGGGGUUCUGAGAGGAAGAUCCCCCACACUGGCACUGAGAUACGGGCCAGACUCCUACGGGAGGCAGCAGUAGGGAAUAUUGGGCAAUGGCGGAAACGCUGACCCAGCCAUGCCGCGUGCAGGAAGAAGGCGCUCAGCGUUGUAAACUGCUUUUGCCAGGGAAGAAUGAGCUCUACGGGUAGAGUCAGUGACGGUACCUGGUGAAUAAGCACCGGCUAACUCCGUGCCAGCAGCCGCGGUAAUACGGAGGGUGCAAGCGUUGUCCGGAUUUAUUGGGUUUAAAGGGUGCGUAGGUGGCUUGUUAAGUCUGGGGUGAAAGGCAGUGGCUCAACCACUAGCAGGGCCCUGGAUACUGGCAGGCUCGAGUGCGCGUGAGGCCGGUGGAACGGGUGGUGUAGCGGUGAAAUGCAUAGAUACCAUCCAGAACACCGAUUGCGGAGGCAGCCGGCUAACGCGCAACUGACACUGAGGCACGAAAGCGUGGGGAGCAAACAGGAUUAGAUACCCUAGUAGUCC